AAGCCACUGUCAGAUGUCAUGGAGAUGAGACCUCACAAGCCUACUCAACGUGAAGAUGAUGAGAAUGAAGACCUUUAUGAUGAUCUGCUUCCACUUAAAGAAUAACCCUGAAACAAGAUGGUGCUGGGAACAUCGUAGGAAAUUAGAUCUAGAUGAUGUGGUCUAGUCUCUUCUCUUGCAUACUCAUGGUGUGUCAUUGGCUUUGGCCAAUGGGAUAUCAGAAAAUGUGAUGCAGCAGAGACUUGAAGAUGCACUGCAGAGGCUAGAUUUAUUCUUUUCUGCUGCAGCAAUUGCCAUGAAGUUGCAGUCCCAGCCUAGCCUGCUGGCCCCAGGAUGAGGGUGAG
RNAcentral lists this long non-coding RNA (344 nucleotides) under Pan troglodytes (chimpanzee). RNAcentral describes it as "lincRNA". Lineage: Eukaryota; Metazoa; Chordata; Mammalia; Primates; Hominidae. The record is from RNAcentral.